AAUAGAUACCCUGGUAGUCCAUGCCGUAAACGUUGGGCACUAGGUGUGGGGCUCAUUCCACGAGUUCCGUGCCGCAGCAAACGCAUUAAGUGCCCCGCCUGGGGAGUACGGCCGCAAGGCUAAAACUCAAAGGAAUUGACGGGGGCCCGCACAAGCGGCGGAGCAUGCGGAUUAAUUCGAUGCAACGCGAAGAACCUUACCAAGGCUUGACAUGCACGGGAAGCCACCAGAGAUGGUGGUCUCUUUGGACACUCGUGCACAGGUGGUGCAUGGUUGUCGUCAGCUCGUGUCGUGAGAUGUUGGGUUAAGUCCCGCAACGAGCGCAACCCUGUCCCAUGUUGCCAGCGGGUUAUGCCGGGGACUCAUGGGAGACUGCCGGGGUCAACUCGGAGGAAGUGGGAUGACGUCAAAUCAUCAUGCCCCUUAUGUCUUGGGCUUCACGCAUGCUACAAUGGCCGGUACAAAGGGCUGCGAUGCCGUAAGUGGAGCGAAUCCCAAAAAGCCGGUCUCAGUUCGGAUUGGGGUC
Molecule: ribosomal RNA, 526 nt
Filed under: uncultured bacterium
Lineage: Bacteria
Description: bacterial SSU rRNA
Rfam family: Bacterial small subunit ribosomal RNA
Source: RNAcentral